GAAGUGUUUGGGUAGACAGGGGGGGGGGGCGGGGGGCUGUAUGGAGGAAAGGGGUGUGUGGCACCAACCCGCACAUGAUCGAUAGAUCAAAGGGUUUUCUUCCUGCUUCAGGGGACUGGAGAGAAUGACAGAGAGGGGCCAAGAGGAGGGGUGGUCAUUUCACCCCUGCGCCUCUAAUGAACGGCAAAUCAACUCCCUCGCUCUGUCCAUCUUCCUCGUCAUCUCCAAGGCGACGCUGCCAGUGUCAAUCACACCGGGCCAACCAAAGUCCAGAAGGGAGGGACCGACAUGUGACGUCAUACAGUGUGACAUCAUCGUCCCCAAACCACUGUCACAAGUAACAAAUGGACAGGAGUAUUUUUAACACAGGCCUCCGCCAAGGAGUCAGCAUACAGAUUGAUUAAAAAGGUCCACAGCAGGUGUGUGCCAGCCACAUGUAUACAUAUAUAUUUACACAUAUACACGCACACACGCAGGAUCGUGACGGUUCUGUGAAAUCCAUUCUAACCUCUUUUAAUGCACAUGAGUUUAUAUAUUCCCAAAAGAGAAAAGCAAACAUAAAAAAAAAUACAGUUCUGAUUCAUCUUUCGUAUGAAGCCGAUUCCUGUUCCCCCCCCUUCGCUCUGUUUCCUGUUGUCCUAUAAAAUAGUCAGUAACACUCUAUACUGUGUCACGAAUUGCAUGAGAAAAAUUCCCCAAGGCUCCUCCAACGUCGUCGUGGAAACGACAGUCUGUUGCCUGUUUGUGUGAGUCCGUACCAGGAUGGCUUUUGGAGGGCCAGAGGACAGACAACCGAGGUUGUUGGUUUAUGCAUAAACACUUUCCGUGGCAACGCGCUGCUUUUGUAUGAACUCUGAACUCUCCGUUCAGAGACGCGAAAAGAAACAGGUGAAACGGCCUAAAACAUCUAGACAGGUUUAUGUGAAACUACAUCUCGGUUUAUCGUUUACCAUUCUGAAUUUAAAAAAUAAAAAAAACACACAAAAAAAAACAAGUGCACGUGGAAAGUAUUUUGUGCAUAAGUUCUGAGGUGUCUCAACAGAUAAUUGGAGAGAGAGAAGAGAGAGAGAGAGGGGGAUAGUGGGAGAGUGAGAGAGAGAAGAGAGAGAGAGAGAGAGAGAGAGAGAGGGGGAUAGUGGGAGAGUGAGAGAAGAGAGAGAGAGAGAGAGAGAGAGAGAGGGGAUAGUGGGAGAGUGAGAGAGAGAAGAGAGAGAGAGAGAGAGAGAGA
Molecule: long non-coding RNA, 1228 nt
Organism: Oncorhynchus tshawytscha (Chinook salmon)
Lineage: Eukaryota; Metazoa; Chordata; Actinopteri; Salmoniformes; Salmonidae
Source: Ensembl